UACAGGGGGGGCAAGCGUUAAUCGGAAUUACUGGGCGUAAAGCGUGCGCAGGCGGUUUUUUAAGUCUGUUGUGAAAUCCCCGGGCUCAACCUGGGAAUGGCGAUGGAGACUGCAAGGCUAGAGUUUGGCAGAGGGGGGUAGAAUUCCACGUGUAGCAGUGAAAUGCGUAGAGAUGUGGAGGAACACCGAUGGCGAAGGCAGCCCCCUGGGUCAAAACUGACGCUCAUGCACGAAAGCGUGGGGAGCAAACAGG
RNAcentral lists this ribosomal RNA (253 nucleotides) under uncultured bacterium. Its description in RNAcentral is "partial 16S ribosomal RNA". It matches the Rfam family "Bacterial small subunit ribosomal RNA", at positions 524 to 776 of the family's 1533-position model. The record is from RNAcentral.